Exaiptasia diaphana is the source of this 273-nucleotide long non-coding RNA. RefSeq lists it as uncharacterized. The record is from RefSeq and is a predicted model, not a curated record. NCBI's taxonomy places the organism in Eukaryota, Metazoa, Cnidaria, Anthozoa, Actiniaria, Aiptasiidae. The transcript has 4 exons.
GUAUUAACGAUGAAACGGCUUCGGAGACGUCUUCGAGCACCGCAGAUGAUUCAUUAGUUGUGAACUUAAGCUUAAGUAUUAAUGAGGAGAUGUCGACAUCUACUCCAAAACCAACCCGAGAAACACACGACAACGAGAAGCAACAUGUGGCAGUGACACCGAACAAUAGCCCUUCUACAUCAAAGGAGGGAAAAGAAAAGUCACCAAAAAGUGAUGAAUUUAAAAAGAAAACUUUAUCAGUUGGUGUUAAAAAGAGAAGAAAGGAGAGACGGA